This 38-nucleotide small RNA is filed under the name Romboutsia ilealis. RNAcentral describes it as "CRISPR spacer". Lineage: Bacteria; Bacillati; Bacillota; Clostridia; Peptostreptococcales; Peptostreptococcaceae. The record is from RNAcentral.
ACCUAACAUGCAAGUAAGAGUGAUAGCAGGUGCAACUC